This 105-nucleotide ribosomal RNA is filed under the name Pteropus alecto (black flying fox). The record is from RNAcentral. Lineage: Eukaryota; Metazoa; Chordata; Mammalia; Chiroptera; Pteropodidae.
GUCUAAGGCCAUGCCACCCUGAACAAACCUGAUGUCUGAUAGCAGGGUCAGGCCUGGUUAGUACUUGGAUGGGAGACCACCUAGGAAGACCAGGUGCUGUAGGCG